Molecule: ribosomal RNA, 468 nt
Filed under: uncultured bacterium
Lineage: Bacteria
Description: partial 16S ribosomal RNA
Rfam family: Bacterial small subunit ribosomal RNA
Source: RNAcentral
GACGAACGCUGGCGGCGUGCUUAACACAUGCAAGUCGAACGGAAAGGCCCUGCUUUUGUGGGGUGCUCGAGUGGCGAACGGGUGAGUAACACGUGAGUAUCCUGCCCUUGACUUUGGGAUAACUUCAGGAAACUGGGGCUAAUCCCGGAUAGGAGCUGCUGCUGCAUGGUGGGGGUUGGAAAGUUUCGGCGGUUGGGGAUGGACUCGCGGCUUAUCAGCUUGUUGGUGGGGUAGUGGCUUACCAAGGCUUUGACGGGUAGCCGGCCUGGGAGGGUGACCGGCCACCUGGGGACUGAGAUACGGCCCAGACUCCUACGGGAGGCAGCAGUGGGGAAUAUUGCACAAUGGGCGGAAGCCUGAUGCAGCAGCGCCGCGUGCGGGAUGACGGCCUUCGGGGUGUAAACCGCUUUCGCCUGUGACGAAGCGUGAGUGACGGUAAUGGGUAAAGAAGCACCGGCUAACUACGUG